GAGGUGGGGGCAGAUCACAUCAACAUCUUGGCGUUGGGCUGGGUCGGCGUGGAGCCCCAGAAAUGUUCCCAAGCCUAUUCUUACCAAGAACCGAUGAGUAAAAUCAGGGGCCUCCCACCUGAGGUCAGGGAACCAGGCCCUGGAGUGGAACUUGGGGUGGAAAAUGGCCUUCUUUGUCAACUGAUUCAUUCUCCAGAAUUCAAUUUGUUCUCCAACUCGGUGGUGUUUGAAAGCAACUUUAUCCAGGCUGAUUUCCAGGUCACUAAGCCCGGGAACUGGAGAGAUGUCUGUGAAGGGUCUGCCACCGUGAUCCUCGGGGUGACCUCCUCGGUGCCCUCCCUGCCACUCCCCAAUGUCCUCCUGAUGGCCAAUGUUACCUGGCCCCAGGGUCCGUUUACCACCUGGAGCACACCUGGUGACGCCCCAGUCAUCAACCUCAGCAGGCUUCUCCCCCUGAAGUACGUGGAGCUACAAAUCUACGACCAGCUCCAGCGUAUCCUGAGGGUUAGGACAGUGACUGAAAAGAUCUACUAUCUGAAGCUCCACAAAAAACACCCAGAGAUUGUGUUUCAAUUCUGGGUCCGCCUGGUGAAAAUUCUGCAGAAAGGCCUGUCCAUCACCACCAAAGACCCAAGAAUCGAAUUCACUCACUGCCUCGUGCCCAAGAUGCCCACCAACUCCACAGAAACAACACCUGAAAACAGCCUCCUGUCAUCCCCCCAGCCCAGCGAGCCCCUCGUGCUGCUGGCGGCUGAGCAGACCAGUGGCAGUUUCUCACAGCUCUCAGGAAAGCCCCAGCUCACAGCAAACAGGAACAAUGACACUGCCAUUGAAAUAGACAACUGCAGCAGCUACAAGAUACCCUCACCAGUGGCAUCUCCAAUCAAUUUGAAUAUAUCCAUGAGAGCUGCCUUGAGCCACAGCCUCUGGGAACAAGAGGACCGGAAUGAGCACCUUCUACAAGUUCCUAUAGCCAGUUCCCUAGGAGAGCACUUGUUGGGAGCCUGACACCUAGGCAAAACAUGCUCUUCCUGGCAUGCGUGUACUUGCUACCACCUCUUACAAUGCUCCUUUCCCACUGUGAGCCAAGUGACCUUGGGAGAGGUCUCCCCAGAUCAAGCCAAAGAAAUGGGCGCCAAGUAACCAGAGACUGCUGGAAUCAUUGCCAGUGGUCCCAUGAAUCACAGCCAGCCUCAAGACCUCAAUUUCUUCACCCGGCCAUGUUAGCAGAGCGAACAACCCUGCGGGCGUGGCUGGGCCGGGUUCUUGGGGCAGCCCGGCGCCACUGCCGGCAUCUACGCACCCUGAACGCGCCCGAUCUGGUCUCAUCUCGGAAGCUAAGCAGGGUCGGGCCUGCCUGCGCCCCCGCUACAGCCCGGGAGGAUGGGGGUCUGCAACUGCAGCACCAGGCGCCACUGCCACACCACCCUGAACGCGCCCGAUCUCGUCUGAUCUCGCAAGCUAAGAUGUGGCCGCAUUUAGGACCCCACCGGAUUGGCUGUGCCUCUCCCAGCCCCCUGGCGGAGCGGACUAACCCUAGCAUUUCAUUGAUUCACAAUAACGCCACCCCACCCGACUAUUUUGAGCCCCAUUUGCCAAUCUGUAGUGGAUCUUUACUGUUUUGGAGUAGUAAAGUCAAUACACCUUUAUAGGUCUAUUUUUGUAGCUACUGCAUUCUGGGUACAAGCUUCUGAUUCUAUUUCAUGGCUUCGAAUGAAGUCGUGCACAAGCAUUUACAUAUUGACUUAUGCAUUGCUUUACAUUUUCCUUGUAUAUUACAGUUGGGGCAGGAUAUCAAUUUUUAAAAUUUAUAUGUAUAGGUAGGUUAUAAUCAUUAUGAAUUUUAUUUCAGGCUAGUGAAACGGUGUGACAAAAUAUUUGUCGUAAAAAGAGGACUUGGGUCUGACAGGGUUGAGAACCACAACACUGGAGGAGUGUUGACCUCCCCAGUACUUCUCUGUUGACUUUGGUGGCACUUAGCUCCUGCACCAUCUCUGCCUCCUCUUACCCCCACCCCACACUGGGGCUGCUUCUCUAGGCUUCUCUGCUCUGCUCUUCCCACACCUUCUCCUCAGCCCUCAGGUCAGCGAGUCCUGGGCAGCCUCUCCUGCUCCCUGGUUCAAUCCCAGCCAUGCCAUCACCCACGCCUCAGAGUCUGUCCUGCCCCUCCUUAGCCCAUGCCACCCUGACUCCAACUAGGUCCUAUAAUCUUCAAUCUCUUCUGGGCUGCCUGUGGGAGGGAGGGUUCCUGCCUAGAUUCUGUUCUGUCCAUAGAAUCAGGUUCCAAAGCUCCCUCAUUUUUAUUUGUUUUAUUGUAUUUAUUUAUUUAGAGACGGAGUCUCACUCUGUCACCUAGAUUGGAGUGCAGUGGCCCGAUCUUGGCUCACUGCAACCUCUUCCUCCUGAGGUCAAGCAAUUCUUCUGCCUCAGCCUCCCAAGUAGCUGGGACUACAGGAGUGCGCCACCAUGCUCGGCUAAUUUUUGUGUUUUUGGUAGAGACGGGGUUUUGCUGUGUUGGGCAGGCUGGUCUCGAACUCCUGACCUCAAGUGAUCCACCCACCUCAGUCUCCCAAAGUGUUGAGAUUACAGGCGUGAGCCACGGCGCCUGGCCAACGCAGCUCGUUAUACAGCCCCUGCUCCAGCCAGCUGAGCCCUGGGGGUUCCCUACCAUGGUCAUGUCAGGGAAUAGGGGAACAUCCUGUAUCAGCUAACUUAUUGUCUUCUCCUGAGGGCUCUUGCUCCUGAAGUCCUGGUUUCUGUCCUUAUCACCACAGUAUUCCAGGGCAGCCAGGUUCAAGUCCUCAUAGUCAUCUCUAACUCUUUGUCUCUUACAUUUAACAAGGCACCAACUGAAUUAAACUCAAUGAACAUUUAAAUGAAUUUUUAAUAAAAAUGUUUAAAUAUGUAUUACAAAAAUAUUAUUCAUAAAGAUUCCAAUAAUACAGAACUAAAGUAAUUUUGGGGCCUGUCUGUCCCUCCCUGCUGCCGUCCCCACCAAAAUAACCCACUUCAUUGAAACAAGCACUUCAACUGCUUUUUAUUUAACAAUUCAUUUGUUCUUGUGUAAUCUGAGGGUGUCAAGUUCUGUAACCUUCUAAGGUCACUGUUUCUUUUAUUAUCUAAAUGAAGUGACUCAAGCCUCUAGGCUACUCCUGUCGUGCCUGAGGAUUUUCGGGGAUGCUUGCAGUCUCCUGAUUUACAAUCACCUUGAUGUCUGAAUCUCACUGAAUCCCACAGCCUAGUGAUUUUUCGUUUGAUUUAUAGCUUAAGUGCAUUGCGAUCUAGAUUUGAAUAUUGCUACAUGCAAUUCAGUGAUUGAAAUUUGCUGAAACUUGCUUUAUUGCUCAUAAUCUGGCCAUUUUUUGCUUGUAAAUUUCCCUAUGUACUUAAAAUUAAAGCAUAUUCUGCAA
Molecule: RNA transcript, 3410 nt
Organism: Symphalangus syndactylus (siamang)
Lineage: Eukaryota; Metazoa; Chordata; Mammalia; Primates; Hylobatidae
Gene: GARIN1A
Gene name: golgi associated RAB2 interactor 1A
Source: RefSeq, a predicted model, not a curated record